AGGAAAGGAGCUGAGAUCCGUGACUGGCAACUCUGGCUCAGCUGAAAACCAUAUGGAUGAAUCAUCCUGGAAGUGGGUUCUCCAGCCUCAGUCCAGCCACACCAGGUGACACUAUGGAGUAAAGAGGAGCCAUCCCACCCAACUCUGCCAGAAUUGCAGACCUGUAACCAAAUUAUUUCAGGGGACCUUUGAGCAAAUAAACCUUCAGCUUCCUCAUCUGUAAUGUGGAGAUAAUGUCUACCAGGUGACAUCACUGAGACUAUUAAAUGAAAGUGCAAACGUGUUCUAUAUCUUCUUGGAGAAAAAACUUCUAGGGAAGGAAACAAGAUUUUGUGAUCUACCAACCCUGUAUUUUUACAGGUUAGAUCUUCCAGAAACAGAUUUCGAGAGGGAGUUUGGGAUGCAAAAUAUUUAAUAAGGAUCAACACCUUUGAGAAGAAGGAGACAGGCUCAGAAUUUGGCAGGCGAAAGAAUCAAAUUGCAUUUACAGGACUGACAAAACCUGGGCUGGUCCCAUGGGAAGCUCUGGAGUGAAG
This 536-nucleotide long non-coding RNA is filed under the name Equus caballus (horse). RNAcentral describes it as "lncRNA (ENSECAG00000056571.1)". The record is from RNAcentral. Lineage: Eukaryota; Metazoa; Chordata; Mammalia; Perissodactyla; Equidae.